AAGUCGUAACAAGGUUUCCGUAGGUGAACCUGCGGAAGGAUCAUUAAUGAAACGUUUGUCGAGAAGGGUUGUUGCUGGCCUCCAGGGGCAUGUGCACGCCUUGAUCGCAUCCACCUCUCACACCUGUGCACAACCUGUAGCUUGGGAUGAUUACGGGACCCUUCACGGGGUAACGAAUGCCCUCGCUAUGAAUAUUUUACACACACUAUAAAGUUUAAUCGAAUGUAAAGUUAUAGCGUCUAAAAGCGCGAAAAAUACAACUUUCAGCAACGGAUCUCUUGGCUCUC
This 287-nucleotide unclassified non-coding RNA is filed under the name Tomentellopsis sp. RNAcentral describes it as "partial contains small subunit ribosomal RNA, internal transcribed spacer 1, and 5.8S ribosomal RNA". The stretch from base 1 to 46 matches the Rfam family "Eukaryotic small subunit ribosomal RNA", at positions 1786 to 1831 of the family's 1831-position model. The record is from RNAcentral. Lineage: Eukaryota; Fungi; Basidiomycota; Agaricomycetes; Thelephorales; Thelephoraceae.